AGAGUUUGAUCAUGGCUCAGGAUGAACGCUGGCGGCGUGCUUAACACAUGCAAGUCGAACGAAGCACCUUAUUCUGAUUUCUUCGGAAUGAAAAAUUUGGUGACUGAGUGGCGGACGGGUGAGUAACGCGUGGGUAACCUGCCUCAUACAGGGGGAUAACAGUUAGAAAUGACUGCUAAUACCGCAUAAGACCACAGCACCGCAUGGUGCAGGGGUAAAAACUCCGGUGGUAUGAGAUGGACCCGCGUCUGAUUAGGAAGUUGGUGGGGUAACGGCCUACCAAGCCGACGAUCAGUAGCCGACCUGAGAGGGUGACCGGCCACAUUGGGACUGAGACACGGCCCAAACUCCUACGGGAGGCAGCAGUGGGGAAUAUUGCACAAUGGGGGAAACCCUGAUGCAGCGACGCCGCGUGAGCGAUGAAGUAUUUCGGUAUGUAAAGCUCUAUCAGCAGGGAAGAAAAUGACGGUACCUGACUAAGAAGCACCGGCUAAAUACGUGCCAGCAGCCGCGGUAAUUCGUAUGGUGCAAGCGUUAUCCGGAUUUACUGGGUGUAAAGGGAGCGUAGACGGAGUGGCAAGUCUGAUGUGAAAACCCGGGGCUCAACCCCGGGACUGCAUUGGAAACUGUCAAUCUAGAGUACCGGAGAGGUAAGCGGAAUUCCUAGUGUAGCGGUGAAAUGCGUAGAUAUUAGGAGGAACACCAGUGGCGAAGGCGGCUUACUGGACGGUAACUGACGUUGAGGCUCGAAAGCGUGGGGAGCAAACAGGAUUAGAUACCCUGGUAGUCCACGCUGUAAACGAUGAAUACUAGGUGUGGGGGGACUGACCCCCUCCGUGCCGCAGUUAACACAAUAAGUAUUCCACCUGGGGAGUACGACCGCAAGGUUGAAACUCAAAGGAAUUGACGGGGGCCCGCACAAGCAGUGGAUUAUGUGGUUUAAUUCGACGCAACGCGAAGAACCUUACCAGGACUUGACAUCCAACUAACGAAGUAGAGAUACAUCAGGUGCCCUUCGGGGAAAGUUGGGACAGGUGGUGCAUGGUUGUCGUCAGCUCGUGUCGUGAGAUGUUGGGUUAAGUCCCGCAACGAGCGCAACCCCUAUUGUUAGUUGCUACGAAAGAGCACUCUAGCGAGACUGCCGUUGACAAAACGGAGGAAGGCGGGGACGACGUCAAAUCAUCAUGCCCCUUAUGUCCUGGGCUACACACGUAAUACAAUGGUGGCCAACAGAGGGAAGCGAAGCCGUGAGGCGGAGCAAAUCCCUAAAAGCCAUCUCAGUUCGGAUUGCAGGCUGCAACUCGCCUGCAUGAAGCUGGAAUUGCUAGUAAUCGCGGAUCAGCAUGCCGCGGUGAAUACGUUCCCGGGCCUUGUACACACCGCCCGUCACACCAUGAGAGUCGGGAACACCCGAAGUCCGUAGUCUAACCGCAAGGGGGGCGCGGCCGAAGGUGGGUCCGGUAAUUGGGGUGAAGUCGUAACAAGGUA
This 1488-nucleotide ribosomal RNA is filed under the name metagenome. RNAcentral describes it as "bacterial SSU rRNA". It matches the Rfam family "Bacterial small subunit ribosomal RNA". The record is from RNAcentral.